AGAACCUCGUAAGAUGUCUUGAGCCUCUGAAACUUCUCAUGAGCAUCGGGAUCAUCUCGGCGUUUGUCCGGAUGCAAGUCCAAAGCUUUCAACCUGUAUGCUUUUGAAAUCUCUUUCUCGCUAAGGUUCUGAGCUUCCUCUCCAGAAGGUAAGCCUAGAACUAUGUAAUGGUCCACAAACUCCUCCAUUUCUUCCUCCUUCGUCACCCUACUAGUCCAACAGAAAGGAGAGUUAGUAAUCUGAGAAAGCUUGACAACUCCAAUUGCAUAAAAACAGAUAUAAUGCCAAGUGACAUGCAAAUACUACACUGAUAGUUUUUUUUAGAACAUCAUAGAAUGUACAAGCAAGAUAAACCACAGAAACGCAAUUCAGGGUCUUUCUUUCUCUCUUACACUACCCAUCAAUCAAAGUUAUAAACUUGAAUAACUUACACGAAGCCAAUGAAGGAGGAUAAAAGCAGAGAUGGAUAUCUGAAGCUUUUAAUUUUCGAUUUCAGAGCAAUCUGUUCGAAAAGGUCUCUCCUUUAGGGUUUGUAUAACCGUCAAGGAUCGAAGACAUGAGUUCAAGGUUCUUAAGGUUGUUAUGAACUAACCUAAAACAUGGACUGUUGUUGUUUACUUCCGAAUCAAUUACACACUCAAAAACACACAAACAUCAUCAAGAGAUUUGGACUUAAGACACACAAGACAGCUAUCUCGAACUAAAGUGAAAUCCGUACGAAUCAAAUCGGUAACCCUAGAACUUAAAGUUUCCUUCUCUAAAAACUAUAUCGAGCAAGUUCAAACGGAGGAAAAGAGAAAGUUACUGCUUGAGAAAUCGAGUUACCUUUUGGAGAAUUGAUGAUACCAACGAGGAGGAGGAGGAAGAAGAUGAUGAAUCAGUCGAUUCGCGUGAUUCGUCGUGGAUUGAAGAAGAUUUUGAGUUUAGGCUUUGCCAAUCCCAGUUUUAUUUAAGAAAAUUCUGUAAUGAAAACAAAUAAAAGGACAAUUUAACAAAUCUGAGAAACAUUGAGGACCGAAGAAGAAUAUAUUAGAUUAGUCUAAUGGCACCGUUUAAAGGGGGCUCAAGGCUUGCAACAGGCCCAUUCUUAUAGACUAUGCGGAUCUGUCAUUUAAACCAAACCAGCCGGUUCGUUUCGUAUUUACUUCUGGAGGAUUAUUUACACAGUAUCAUCAGAUGAUACAAAAGGAAUAUGAUUUGUACUUUGAUUAUUAUUUAACAAGUAACAAUAAUCCGAACUCAAAUUUAUCAGAUAGAAAAUACUACGAGAAAGAAAAGAUUACUCAAGAACUUGAUUGUUAAAUAAGAGAGUGGUCAGGGGAAAUAUACAGCAAACCAACCACUACUAUUAAAAGCGUCUCUCUCUCUCUACCUUGGGUAUCAUUUUUCAUGUAGAUGAUCACUUCUACCUCUUCCUAAAUAAAACUUUCCAGCCUCUUUCUUUUCCCUUUCUUUUUUUGUUCAAUUUUUAGCAGAAACUUACGCUCCCUUUCCUCCAGAUCAGACAUCAUCUUGCGCCUCUUGGAAUCCACUUGCGAUUUCUUGUGCUGUUUCUCGCGCUGGAUUCUAAGAAGAUCAUCGAACAGCUUCCGAGCUUUCUCGUCUUUGAGAACCUCGUAAGAUGUCUUGAGCCUCUGAAACUUCUCAUGAGCAUCGGGAUCAUCUCGGCGUUUGUCCGGAUGCAAGUCCAAAGCUUUCAACCUGUAUGCUUUUGAAAUCUCUUUCUCGCUAAGGUUCUGAGCUUCCUCUCCAGAAGGUAAGCCUAGAACUAUGUAAUGGUCCACAAACUCCUCCAUUUCUUCCUCCUUCGUCACCC
This 1816-nucleotide long non-coding RNA is filed under the name Brassica napus (rape). RNAcentral's name for it is "long non-coding RNA (BNAP_LNC005361)". Lineage: Eukaryota; Viridiplantae; Streptophyta; Magnoliopsida; Brassicales; Brassicaceae. The record is from RNAcentral.